UCAGAUUGAGGUAGUAGGUUGUAUAGUUCAGAAUUACAUCAAUCAUGGAGAAACUGUACAACCUUCUAGCUUUCCCUGA
This is a non-coding RNA of Lingula anatina, 79 nucleotides long. Lineage: Eukaryota; Metazoa; Brachiopoda; Lingulata; Lingulida; Lingulidae. The record is from Rfam.